This 1377-nucleotide ribosomal RNA is filed under the name Klebsiella pneumoniae CHS 12. Its description in RNAcentral is "bacterial SSU rRNA". It matches the Rfam family "Bacterial small subunit ribosomal RNA", at positions 155 to 1528 of the family's 1533-position model. The record is from RNAcentral. Lineage: Bacteria; Pseudomonadati; Pseudomonadota; Gammaproteobacteria; Enterobacterales; Enterobacteriaceae.
AACGGUAGCUAAUACCGCAUAAUGUCGCAAGACCAAAGUGGGGGACCUUCGGGCCUCAUGCCAUCAGAUGUGCCCAGAUGGGAUUAGCUUGUAGGUGGGGUAACGGCUCACCUAGGCGACGAUCCCUAGCUGGUCUGAGAGGAUGACCAGCCACACUGGAACUGAGACACGGUCCAGACUCCUACGGGAGGCAGCAGUGGGGAAUAUUGCACAAUGGGCGCAAGCCUGAUGCAGCCAUGCCGCGUGUGUGAAGAAGGCCUUCGGGUUGUAAAGCACUUUCAGCGGGGAGGAAGGCGGUGAGGUUAAUAACCUCAUCGAUUGACGUUACCCGCAGAAGAAGCACCGGCUAACUCCGUGCCAGCAGCCGCGGUAAUACGGAGGGUGCAAGCGUUAAUCGGAAUUACUGGGCGUAAAGCGCACGCAGGCGGUCUGUCAAGUCGGAUGUGAAAUCCCCGGGCUUAACCUGGGAACUGCAUUCGAAACUGGCAGGCUAGAGUCUUGUAGAGGGGGGUAGAAUUCCAGGUGUAGCGGUGAAAUGCGUAGAGAUCUGGAGGAAUACCGGUGGCGAAGGCGGCCCCCUGGACAAAGACUGACGCUCAGGUGCGAAAGCGUGGGGAGCAAACAGGAUUAGAUACCCUGGUAGUCCACGCCGUAAACGAUGUCGAUUUGGAGGUUGUGCCCUUGAGGCGUGGCUUCCGGAGCUAACGCGUUAAAUCGACCGCCUGGGGAGUACGGCCGCAAGGUUAAAACUCAAAUGAAUUGACGGGGGCCCGCACAAGCGGUGGAGCAUGUGGUUUAAUUCGAUGCAACGCGAAGAACCUUACCUGGUCUUGACAUCCACAGAACUUUCCAGAGAUGGAUUGGUGCCUUCGGGAACUGUGAGACAGGUGCUGCAUGGCUGUCGUCAGCUCGUGUUGUGAAAUGUUGGGUUAAGUCCCGCAACGAGCGCAACCCUUAUCCUUUGUUGCCAGCGGUCCGGCCGGGAACUCAAAGGAGACUGCCAGUGAUAAACUGGAGGAAGGUGGGGAUGACGUCAAGUCAUCAUGGCCCUUACGACCAGGGCUACACACGUGCUACAAUGGCAUAUACAAAGAGAAGCGACCUCGCGAGAGCAAGCGGACCUCAUAAAGUAUGUCGUAGUCCGGAUUGGAGUCUGCAACUCGACUCCAUGAAGUCGGAAUCGCUAGUAAUCGUAGAUCAGAAUGCUACGGUGAAUACGUUCCCGGGCCUUGUACACACCGCCCGUCACACCAUGGGAGUGGGUUGCAAAAGAAGUAGGUAGCUUAACCUUCGGGAGGGCGCUUACCACUUUGUGAUUCAUGACUGGGGUGAAGUCGUAACAAGGUAACCGUAGGGGAACCUGCGGUUGGAUCACCU